Molecule: ribosomal RNA, 497 nt
Filed under: uncultured bacterium
Lineage: Bacteria
Description: partial 16S ribosomal RNA
Rfam family: Bacterial small subunit ribosomal RNA
Source: RNAcentral
GAUGAACGCUGGCGGCGUGCCUAAUACAUGCAAGUCGAGCGAACGGACAAGACGCUUGCUUCUCUGAUGUUAGCGGCGGACGGGUGAGUCACACGUGUAUAACCUCCCUAUAAGACUGGGAUAACUUCGGGAAACCGGAGCUAAUACCGGAUAAUAUUUUGAUCCGUAUGGUUCAAAGGUGAAAUACGGUCUUUCUGUCACUUAUCGAUGGAUCCCGGCUGCAUUAGAUAGUUGUUAAGUAAACGGCUUAUCAAGGCAACGAUGCAUGGCCGACUUGAGAGAGUGAUAGGCGACAUUGGAACUGAGACACGGUCAAGGCGCCUAAGAGAGGCAGCAGAAGGGAAUCGGACGCAGUGGGCGAAAGCAUGACGGAGCAACGCCGCGUGAGAGAUGAAGGUGUUGGGAUCGGAAAAAUCGGUUAUUAGGGAAGAACAUAUGUGUAAGUAAAUGUGCACAUAGUGACGGUAACGAAUCAGAAAGCAACGGCUAACUACGUG